This 301-nucleotide ribosomal RNA is filed under the name uncultured bacterium. Its description in RNAcentral is "partial 16S ribosomal RNA". It matches the Rfam family "Bacterial small subunit ribosomal RNA", at positions 509 to 807 of the family's 1533-position model. The record is from RNAcentral.
CAGCAGCCGCGGUAAGACGGAGGGUGCUAGCGUUGUUCGGAAUCACUGGGCGUAAAGGGCGCGUAGGCGGCCUGUUAAGUCGGAUGUGAAAGCCCGGGGCUCAACCCCGGAACUGCAUCCGAGACUGGCAGGCUUGAGACCGGGAGAGGAGGGUGGAAUAUCCAGUGUAGAGGUGAAAUUCGUAGAUAUUGGAUGGAACACCGGUGGCGAAAGCGGCUCUCUGGCCCGGAUCUGACGCUGAGGCGCGAAAGCGUGGGGAGCAAACAGGAUUAGAUACCCGGGUAGUCCCUGUCUCUUAUAC